Molecule: non-coding RNA, 6202 nt
Organism: Oryza sativa Japonica Group (Japanese rice)
Lineage: Eukaryota; Viridiplantae; Streptophyta; Magnoliopsida; Poales; Poaceae
Source: RefSeq, a predicted model, not a curated record
UUUCAGCGACUAGAAAAUAAGGAACUAGCCAUCUCAUAAACCAUAUUAUUUAAUCUUAUCCACUAGUUGAUGGUGAAGUUAGAAAUAGGUUUAUAUCAACAAUUAGGAAAAAACCUGUGGAAAAUUUCGUGUUUGAUCUAAAAAAACUAAAGAGCUUAUGAUAAAAUAUUUCAUCCAUGCUGAGAUACCAUUCCAUAAAAUUGAGGAUCCCUACUUGGAUGAUUGGAUGGCGUCCAUGCAGCCAACCUUUAAACUUGUGGGCCGUCAAUCAAUCCGUGACAAGAUUUACAACUAUUACAAUAGGCUGAAACAAGAAUUGCAUGCUGAAUUAGAAAAUCUUGAUUCGCGUGUAUGCCUAACAUCGGACAUGUGGACCUCAAAUCAAAACUUAGGAUACAUGGUUGUCACGGCCCAUUAUGUUGAUGCAGUAUUCAAAAUAAAAAGAAAAUUAUAAGUUUGAAGCCUCUGAAGUAUUCACACACUAGUUUUGCAAUUGAAGAAGCCAUGAUGAGGUGUUUGACUGAGUGGGGCUUAAGUAGCAAGCUGUUCACCUUGACUUUAGACAAUGCUAGUAACAACACCGUUGCUUGUCAAGAAUUAGUGAAAACUCUUAAGGAUGAGUUGGUUUUGGAAGGUAAACAGUUUCAUGUGAGGUGUUGUGCACACAUCUUCAAUUUGUUGGUUCAAGAUGGAAUGAGGGUGAUUCAUGUGGCAAUAGAUAAGAUCCGUGAGAUCCUAAAGUACAUUGAGCAUUCACCCUCACGCAUUCAAGCGUUUAAUUCAAUUGCUUCUAGUAAAAGUCUUCCUCCAAAAUCUGGUUUCGCUCUUGAUGUACCAACCCAUUGGAACUCGACCUUCAAGAUGAUUAGAGAAAUAUUGUCUUACAAAGCUGUCUUCAAUAGCUAUACCUCUGAAAAUUGUGAAGUUCUACCAACUGACCAAGAAUGGUUGCAGGCUGAAUCAAGAGUGAAGUGCAUCAGCGGUCCCUAAACUUGUGCGGAUGUGUCAUCUAGGUCCCUAAACUCUCAAAAUGUAUUUUUAUGUCCCUAAACUUGUCUUAGGUGUCAUAUAGGUCCAAACGGGCACCGACCCGCUCCAUCCGCUGACGUGGCAUGCCACGGUAGCGCCUACGUAUCAGUGGGGACUCACAUGUCAGUCAUAUUUAUAAUAUGAUAUGAUAACAAUAUUUACAGAAAGAACCUUACAUGUUUUAAACUUACUCUAAUCAAAUCCUGUACGUGCUAAUGGAGCGGAGCCCACCUGUCAUAGGCACAGGGAGAAAGCAGCAGCAGCCGCAGAGUUCGCCGGCCGGCGUUCCUUCAAGACGAUGCCGUUGACGAACGGCGAUUCUUCGGCCGACACAACCACAAGAAGAAAUGCUGAGGACUUCCUUGUGAUCCUGUUGAAGGUGGUCUCGUCGCUAGAGGUGGCCGGAAUCGAUGCCAGUGGUGUCGCGAGCGGCGGUGGUCUUCAAUACGCCUGUGCAUGUAGAGUCCCAGCCCGAUUUAGUGCAAAAAAAUGCAUGCAUGCGAGUCUAGCAGGUCCCUGAGUGCUCACUGGAACUUGAUUGCGGCAUGGCGAGGUCUGGGUAACAGCGGUAAUGGAAAAGACAGCCCGGCGGUGGUGGAUAACGUCGGCUUCACGGCGACGGCUCGCUUGAGCGGUGGAAUGCUUAGAGAAGGUGCAUGGGUGGUUAGUGAGGUCCCUAAAGAGUUGCAUGCACGAUUAAUUAGUCCGUGGCUCACCGGGGAGAGAGGAAUUGGCGAUGGCACUCGGCGACCGGAGUUGGAGAAGAUGACGGCGAUCUCCCUCGUCUGUGCACGAUUCUUAAAAUUUCUUGAGGGCUUUUGGCCAUGAUGGUGAGGCGAUGACUUUGGCGCGAUGGCUUGGCUUGAGAUGGACCAUGUCGACCGGAACAGCGACGACGUCAUGGCGGCGGCGCCUGGUGCGAGUUCCGGAGCUCUCAUGGGCAAGGUCGCGUUUCCGUUGCUGCAGUGGAUAAAACGAGAUGGGGUCAAAAGGAGAUUUGCUCGGCAUGAUGUGGGAAGUUUGGAAUGGGAAAGAUUUGGCGAUAGAGACGACUUGUCGGCAACAGCGAGCGUCAUCUUCUUCACGAUUGACGACGAGAAUGUGGGCGACGGAGAGGCAUAGGGCUCUCUCUCGUCCGAGUAGUUCGGCUCCAGAAGAAUGUAGAAGAGAAGGCGACACGUCUGAGGAAGAAAAGGGAGGAGCUCAGCGUUGCCACGUCCUGGCCACGCGUGAUGCGUCGAGCACCGCCGGCGUCUCUCUUUCCUGCUCUCUCUCUCUCUCUCUUGGCUCCCAGGGCGGUGGAGAUGAUGCACAGAGCUGACAUGUGGGUCCCAACUGACCCGUAGCGUUACCGUGGACACCACGUCAGCGGAUGGAGCAGAUCGGAGCCCGUUUGGACCUAUAUGAUACCAAAGACAAGUUCGGGGACCCAAAAAUGCAUUUUGAGAGUUUAAGGAUCCAGAUGACACACCCACACAAGUUUAGGUACCGCUGGUGCACUUCACUCCUGAAUCAAUAUGUGAAUUUCUUAAGGCUUUUGAAGAGGUUACUAGAGGUGUGUCAGUGUUGGCAGCUGUUAAGUACCAAAUUAACGCCGUCAAUACCUGCAUAAGACCAUAAAUAUAAAACAUCCAACAUAGUGGUAGGGUUUAUUCCUAACAAUUUCCAUGAGUGUUGGUGUAUAUUCAUAUGCAGGUGACAAACAACCUAAGUUGAGAAGAAAUAUAUAUGAAGGAGGAGGAGAAUCAAACUCGUAUCCGAACUUAUGGAGUUUUGGACACAAAAACCCAAUUAAACACCUCCAAAUGGGCCAAACAUCCAUACCAAUAAAAUGAGGGGCCCAAAAUGAGUGUCCAGGCCGAAAACCGGGGCCAACGGAGCCAGCCAGGGUUCGGCCGAACCCUGACAGAGGCCACUGGCCUAGGCCCAGUUUGCGUUUAGUAGCAAACCGCUCCCCAAUGAUGGUUAUGGGCGUUUUCACCGGUGGAAACCGUCAUAAAAUGGACACUUGGCUCAUGGAGGAUGAAGAUGCCCAUUGGAUGCCAUGGAGGAUCUCUACACUCCCAAGCAAACUCACACUAUAAAUACCCCUCUCAUCCUUCAUUCCAACACACACCAAAGCAUGAGCUGAAUUACAAGAGACUCUAUUGUACUUUUUUGUAUACUAGAUUAGGGAGAGAGUAGAGUAGAGGAAGUCGGAGAAAUUCCGGAGUUGUCGGUAAUCCUCUUCUUAUUUCUUUUAUUUUGUUAAUUACUUCUGUUUUAAUUGAAUAUCAUUCUGAGUAAUUAAGAUUUAUUCCGUGAGAGUUACCUCUUAGUUAGUUUUAAUCAACGUACGAAACAUUGUUCACUAUAGUCCAUUAAAAUAUAGUGAUUGCUUGAGAGAGUUAUAAACACUAAAGUAGUUAUUAACUGCGCAGACGUGGUGGCUGGGUAGUUAAUUUCUUAUGUUUGCUUCGUAUCCCAAAGUAGGUUUGAGGUAGGUGUAGAGGUGGUGACAGAACUCAAGUACACUAAAGUCCUCUCUAUCCAGGUACGUUGUAGAGCCAUAUCUGGGAGCAGUGGGCUGACCAGCGCCUGAAGCACCGCGUUAGGAUUAAAUAGAGGUUUUUGUAGAUACUGUCUCUCACUAGUAAAUCCUCUCUACCUUUAGCCUAUCUUAACUUCAUGUCCUUAAUGAAUCUGGAGAAGAGCUGACACACACGUUCUCUGUGGAAAUCGAUACCUUGGAAUACUCCUGGGUGAAGUGCUACAUCGGUAUCUUCUGUGCGCUUGCGGAUUCUAUCUGUGACUUUAAGAAAUACCAACAGUCAGCUCAUAGGACACCAGCUGCACACACAUUCUUGCCCCAUAUUCUUUGUAUAUGUCAUGCUUUAAGUGAUCCUGAUUGGCAAACCAGCGAUGUUUUGACACGAUUGGCUGGUCCUAUGCACACUAAGUUUGCAAAAUAUUGAGAUGAAAAAUUGGCAAACAACUCCAAUUUGGCACUUGUUAUUACCACUGUGUUAGAUCCAAGAAGGAAAAGAGACUAUUUAGAUUUUUUUUUUUAUGAGAAAGUGUCUCCCCAUGGGUUUAAUGUUGAAAGUAAGGUGGACUCUAUUAUAGAGGAGAUGAAAUCAUACUUUCGUGUAUACGAAGGAAUUGCAAGAAAAAGGAGUGUAUCCUACAUGUCACAGUCUAAUGAGGGAGUGUUGUAGGCUCACUAGUUUUGGGCAAAAGAAAGCUUAGAGCAUGAAUUCACCCUCUUCAAGUCAAACUGGAAGGUUGCACGUACUCACAAGACAAAGAUUGAUACAUAUUUAGAAGUGUGUGAGGAUGAUAGUGAGGAUUUUGAUGUUUUGGCAUGGUGGAAGAAAAAUGCCAAGAAGUUUCCUGUGUUGGCAAUUAUGGCUCGAGACUUUCUUGCAAUUCCACUUAGCACUGUGCCCUCAGAGUCUGCUUUCAGCAGUGGAGGAAGGAUUCUUGGAAACACAAGAAGUUCAUUGACACCAGAGAUGCUCGAGGCACUUGUUUGUGCGAAAGAUUAGCUGUAUAGGUGCUCGAGGCACUUGUUUGUGCUAGACUUUCUUACAAUUCCACUUAGCACCGUGCCCUCAGAGUCUGAUUUCAGCAGUGGAGGAAGGAUUCUUGGAGACACAAGAAGUUCAUUCAGAGAUGCUCGAGGCACUUGUUUGUGCGAAAGAUUAGCUAUAUAGGUGCUCGAGGCACUUGUUUAUGCGAAAGAUUAGCUGUAUAGAGCCAAAAAACAGGGGGAUUAAAGGUAUAAUAUCUGUCACAUUUGCUUAUUUAUUGGACCAUUGCUGCUGCCUUGAUUUAGGAAUAUUAGCAGUUACUCCUAGAACUUUUACAUUUUAGCAGUUAUUUAAAAAAUGCAUAAGUCCCUAUGUUAUAUGUAUAUGUGUGUGCUUAGACUUGUGAUUGACUUGGUUUGUCUAAAGGUAGUACAGCACCUCUAGCUUGCUGCAUGUUGAUGUUUACGACAACACUGUAUUGUAAUGUGCAGUGCAUUAAUUAGUUAACAAUUCUAUAACUAUUUGUCAAGUGAUGGUCCUCUACCAGGCCAAAUCCUUGCAUGUUUUGUGGUGUAUAUACUUUCAGCUCUCCUUUUGACAACUCCGGUUCUUUUGUGGUGAGCCAACUAACCAUUGUGAAGAAUAUGUAAUUUGGGUAGGAGGAUUUCUUUUGGCUAGGGGAAGUAUGUAAUUGGCAUUAUCAAUAGUUCUUUUAAAUAGCAUGAAAAAUCUAUGUAAUUCACAUUUGGCUUUUAAAUAGUGCUGGAAAUCUGUAGUGCUGGAAACCUCAUGUAUCGAUAAAUUAGAUUAGACAUUUUUUAUGCUUCUCUCGUGUGGCAAUAUAUUGCCAAAUUUUUACGGUGAGGAACUGAUUGUUCUUGUUGUGAUAAAUCAUAAAUGAGAAUAACUUACUACAUUUCUUUGAUGGUGUUAUGUUCUUUCAGGUAUUUGCUUCCUGUAAUCAAAGAACUGUAACAGUUUCCGUGAUUUGUGGCUCAUGUGAGGUUCUUCAUGUUGACAAGUUUAGAGAAGAAACUAAGGGAAGUCAGCUGAUUGACUGAUCAGAAGAUGGAUACUACUUAACAAGUGACUCCCCAAUACCUCAGGGAGAGAUUGUCAUUGGUGGUCCUAAUGUAAUUUCAAGAAUGAAGCUAAAACGAAUGAAGUAUUCUAGCUCCUCCGAACUGCAAAAGUAGCAAGUAUUUGCUUGCCCAAUCAUAUGAGUUGUGUAUUCAUGUAAUAUUAAGAAAGUUCAGUAAAGUCUGAUUAAUUUAGGCUGUGCUCAGCGAAGUGAGCAUAGCUCAACUGGUUAGGUUCCUUGUGGUGGAACCAGCCCACCCGGGUUCAAAUCCUAGAUUUGACACGGGUGCUCGCAUUUACGGCUAAUUAUUCUUUCAGUGGUAGGCGACGUACCCGUCGACAGCGAGGCGCCUGUGGUGACUUCGUCAAUCUCAAGAUAUGCCGGCCCAGUCUUCCGGAGGUGCUCAUAGGAGUAGGGUGUGCGUGUGUGCGUUCAUAGGGGUGAGUGUGCGCAUGUUGUGAGCGCCUGCGUUUGUACUGUGUUUCUCAAAAAAAAAAAUUAGGCUGUGCUCAGUUAAUUUUCAUCUGGAUUUAUUUGCAAAUUUAAUGAGAAGCAUGACGUAUAUAUUAUUGUUUGACCA